Molecule: ribosomal RNA, 1412 nt
Filed under: Drosophila melanogaster (fruit fly)
Lineage: Eukaryota; Metazoa; Arthropoda; Insecta; Diptera; Drosophilidae
Description: eukaryotic LSU rRNA
Rfam family: Eukaryotic large subunit ribosomal RNA
Source: RNAcentral
UAACAUGGUUUAUGUGCUCGUUCUGGGUAAAUAGAGUUUCUAGCAUUUAUGUUAGUUACUUGUUCCCCGGAUAGUUUAGUUACGUAGCCAAUUGUGGAACUUUCUUGCUAAAAUUUUUAAGAAUACUAUUUGGGUUAAACCAAUUAGUUCUUAUUAAUUAUAACGAUUAUCAAUUAACAAUCAAUUCAGAACUGGCACGGACUUGGGGAAUCCGACUGUCUAAUUAAAACAAAGCAUUGUGAUGGCCCUAGCGGGUGUUGACACAAUGUGAUUUCUGCCCAGUGCUCUGAAUGUCAAAGUGAAGAAAUUCAAGUAAGCGCGGGUCAACGGCGGGAGUAACUAUGACUCUCUUAAGGUAGCCAAAUGCCUCGUCAUCUAAUUAGUGACGCGCAUGAAUGGAUUAACGAGAUUCCUACUGUCCCUAUCUACUAUCUAGCGAAACCACAGCCAAGGGAACGGGCUUGGAAUAAUUAGCGGGGAAAGAAGACCCUUUUGAGCUUGACUCUAAUCUGGCAGUGUAAGGAGACAUAAGAGGUGUAGAAUAAGUGGGAGAUAUUAGACCUCGGUUUGGUAUCGUCAAUGAAAUACCACUACUCUUAUUGUUUCCUUACUUACUUGAUUAAAUGGAACGUGUAUCAUUUCCUAGCCAUUAUACGGAUAUAUUUAUUAUAUCUUAUGGUAUUGGGUUUUGAUGCAAGCUUCUUGAUCAAAGUAUCACGAGUUUGUUAUAUAAUCGCAAACAAAUUCUUUAAUAAAACGAUGCAUUUAUGUAUUUUUGAUUUGAAAAUUUGGUAUAACUCCAAUUACUCAGGUAUGAUCCAAUUCAAGGACAUUGCCAGGUAGGGAGUUUGACUGGGGCGGUACAUCUCUCAAAUAAUAACGGAGGUGUCCCAAGGCCAGCUCAGUGCGGACAGAAACCACACAUAGAGCAAAAGGGCAAAUGCUGACUUGAUCUCGGUGUUCAGUACACACAGGGACAGCAAAAGCUCGGCCUAUCGAUCCUUUUGGUUUAAAGAGUUUUUAACAAGAGGUGUCAGAAAAGUUACCAUAGGGAUAACUGGCUUGUGGCGGCCAAGCGUUCAUAGCGACGUCGCUUUUUGAUCCUUCGAUGUCGGCUCUUCCUAUCAUUGUGAAGCAAAAUUCACCAAGCGUUGGAUUGUUCACCCAUGCAAGGGAACGUGAGCUGGGUUUAGACCGUCGUGAGACAGGUUAGUUUUACCCUACUAAUGACAAAACGUUGUUGCGACAGCAUUCCUGCGUAGUACGAGAGGAACCGCAGGUACGGACCAAUGGCACAAUACUUGUUCGAGCGAACAGUGGUAUGACGCUACGUCCGUUGGAUUAUGCCUGAACGCCUCUAAGGUCGUAUCCGUGCUGGACUGCAAUGAUAAAUAAGGGGCAAUUUGCAUUGU